Molecule: transfer RNA, 73 nt
Rfam family: tRNA
About the family: Transfer RNA (tRNA) molecules are approximately 80 nucleotides in length. Their secondary structure includes four short double-helical elements and three loops (D, anti-codon, and T loops).
Source: Rfam
GCCGCCUUAGCUCAGGAGGUAGAGCGCAGCCGUGGUAAGGCUGAGGUGGCUGGUUCAAGUCCAGCAGGCGGCA